RNAcentral lists this long non-coding RNA (1029 nucleotides) under Anas platyrhynchos platyrhynchos (common mallard). RNAcentral describes it as "lncRNA (ENSAPLG00000030017.1)". The record is from RNAcentral. Lineage: Eukaryota; Metazoa; Chordata; Aves; Anseriformes; Anatidae.
AACAAAACCCAGAGUCUCUGGGGAAAAAAAAAAAAAAAAAAAAAAAAAAAAAAAAGGAAAGGAAAGGAAAGGGAAAGGGAAAAAAAAAACCUCCUGCACUCUCGAUUGUCGCUCGGUUCUCAGAGUCAGGUUUUGCAGUCGGGAUUCAUCGCAGCCCCAAAAUCAGCGAGCAAAGUGCCCCCCCUGCUAAACCUGCCUUCAUCCCCUCUGCCUCUCAGGGUGUCCCCAGCUCAGGGCGCUGGGGGGGCUCCGCUUUGGGGCCGCUGGCAGCCGGGGAACCCGAGCGGUGCGGAUCGCUCCCCGCUGGCCCGAGGUUUCGGCUGCCCUCUGUGCUCAGCCAAGCACCGGACCUUUCCCCGAGCUGGAGGGCAGCAUUACCCAGCGGGGCACGGCGCUAGGAACAAAAAGAAGCGCGUGAAUGCCGCCUCCUGCCUUCACUCUGCCCUACAACCAGAGACCCCCCGGCUCCCCCUGCCCGCCCUCAGGAGCCGCCGGCUCGGCCCCGUUGCCCCCCGGCAGGACUCGGGGCGCAGGCCCCGGCCCCCGGCCCUGCCCCGGGCUCCCCCCAGGUGCCCCCAUGCAGCAGCCCCGCGGCCCGCCCGGCCCCUCGCCGCCACCCGGCGCCCGGAGCCCGCAAUGGCGGGCGGGGAGGGACCCCUAGCGUCCGAGCCGCCCGGGCCCGGCUCCCAUCGCCGGGGCUGCGGCACCCUCUGCUGCUCGCCCGCCGCAUCCCCGGCCCCGCCGGCAGCGAAGGAGGGCAGGGGGGCGGCGGGGGUGCGAGCCCCCUGUGCAGGGCUCCUGCACCUCAAGCCCUGGCGGAGAAUAAAACCAGUGCGGCUCAGCACGCUGCGUGUGGCCUCGGGUCGUGCUCCCCUGCGGUUAGGUAGCGCCUGGGGUGCUGAGGAGUUCCCUGUGCUCAUCUUUGUCCCCAGCCAGGCUCCUUGUCCUCCCCGGCCAGCCCCACACCACACCAAAAGCAGAGGGAUUUCCACACGGGAUGUCCCAAAAGGGGCCUGCAAUGCUGGGUGA